AGAACUGCUCCUCUGGAGGCUAGAUGGAAGCCCACGUAGGAGACAUAACGACAUUUGUAGAAGGUAAAUCUUGCAUAAAGGCACCACUGAGAAGACUUCUACUCUGGAGCGCUUUGUCCUUUCAGUGUCACUUCCCACGAAGAGAGAGGGUAUAGCAGUGGAGAACAACAGAGAGCAGGUGGUAAUACUGGUAAUGGACUCACCCUAUGCUUUUAAGCACACGUGGCUCUCUGAGGAGGAGUUCCUCUGAGGGAGCAAGUGAUAAAGUUGAAUUAAGUACUUUGCUAUUAUCUGGAAGAAAAACCCAUGUAUAGGAAAGAUGUGCAGAAGAAGAUGUGCAAUCGGAAAAACAGUUUCACUGUGGGGGAGCAAGAAAGGGGAGCAGGAAUUAAUUUCCCUGGAAGAUGUCAUAAAUUGAAGGAUGUUACCAGUCUCUCUAGUGGAAUUCUAAAGAAUACGUGCCUGAAAAUGACACCCAGUAAGUCCUAUAAUCUAAAGACUUUCAUGAAGCUUCCUUUUCCAGUAUUAGAGUUUACUGUGUUAGUUCAUCUUGAUGCCCUGUUUUGCUCUUUGUCUUUAACUCAUACAAAAUAAUAUAGGUUUGGAGUAGCAAGGAUAGUUAAUGUUGUUAAUGUCUCCCUUGCACUGUAGUGAUGGGGCAAUCACUACAGCAUGACUUAUAUCUAAGCACUUUAUGAAACUGAGCUUUAGAAUUGAUUUUUAUAAUCAAGUAAGAAAGAAAAAUAACCAUCAGCAAAUCUGUUGCUUAUAUUUAAGUGGUGUUACCAAGGGAAUGCAGUGCUACAGAUCUGGGUGCAGCGAUCUUGACUCCUUGUUUCAUAGCAUACUUGCUGUUGGCCAGUGCUGGCCUGAAUUUGGGUCACACAGGCAACAAUUAGGAAUCAUUUUCAGCUGAUGAUUACUUUCUUAGAGAUCAUAAAUAACUGCUGCUUUUUAUCUAGUUUAUGGAGUGGGAUAUUCUCUUAAACAGUGGCCCUAAUAACACUGUCUCUUAUUAACAGAAUAAAAGUGAAUAUUAUGAAGAGUAAGCUUCUAUC
RNAcentral lists this long non-coding RNA (1058 nucleotides) under Struthio camelus australis. Its description in RNAcentral is "lncRNA (ENSSCUG00000011844.1)". The record is from RNAcentral. Lineage: Eukaryota; Metazoa; Chordata; Aves; Struthioniformes; Struthionidae.